CGCAAGCCUGACGGAGCAAUACCGCGUGAGGGAGGAAGGCCUUUGGGUUGUAAACCUCUUUUCUUAAGGAAGAAGAUCUGACGGUACUUAAGGAAUCAGCAUCGGCUAACUCCGUGCCAGCAGCCGCGGUAAUACGGAGGAUGCAAGCGUUAUCCGGAAUUAUUGGGCGUAAAGCGUCCGCAGGCGGCAUUAUAAGCCUGCUGUCAAAGACCGCAGCUCAACUGCGGAAAGGCAGUGGAAACUGUAAAGCUAGAGUACGGUAGGGGUAGAGGGAAUUCCCAGUGUAGCGGUGAAAUGCGUAGAUAUUGGGAAGAACACCAGUGGCGAAAGCGCUCUACUGGGCCGUAACUGACGCUCAGGGACGAAAGCUAGGGGAGCG
This 379-nucleotide ribosomal RNA is filed under the name uncultured cyanobacterium. RNAcentral describes it as "bacterial SSU rRNA". It matches the Rfam family "Bacterial small subunit ribosomal RNA", at positions 376 to 770 of the family's 1533-position model. The record is from RNAcentral. Lineage: Bacteria; Bacillati; Cyanobacteriota.